CAACAAUUUUAGUUAUAAGCUGGAGAGGCAUCAGUUUGAAGUAAUAGAGGAGGAAAAGGACGUUGGAGUAUUGGUUGAUCACAGGAUGACUUUGAGCUGCCAACGUGAUAUGGCUGUGAAAAAAGCUAA
Non-coding RNA from Chelonoidis abingdonii (Abingdon island giant tortoise), 129 nucleotides. NCBI's taxonomy places the organism in Eukaryota, Metazoa, Chordata, Testudines, Testudinidae. The record is from RefSeq and is a predicted model, not a curated record.